GAGUUANGAUCAUGGCUCAGAGUGAACGCUGGCGGUAGUGCCUAACACAUGCAAGUCGAACGGCAGCACGAGAGAGCUUGCUCUUUUGGUGGCGAGUGGCGGACGGGUGAGGAAUACAUCGGAAUCUACCUUGUCGUGGGGGAUAACGUAGGGAAACUUACGCUAAUACCGCAUACGACCUACGGGUGAAAGCGGAGGACCUUCGGGCUUCGCGCGACUAGAUGAGCCGAUGUCGGAUUAGCUUGUUGGCGGGGUAAAAGCCCACCAAGCGACGAUCCGUAGCUGGUCUGAGAGGAUGAUCAGCCACACUGGAACUGAGACACGGUCCAGACUCCUACGGGAGGCAGCAGUGGGGAAUAUUGGACAAUGGGCGCAAGCCUGAUCCAGCCAUACCGCGUGGGUGAAGAAGGCCUUCGGGUUGUAAAGCCCUUUUGUUGGGGAAGAAAAGCAGCUGGCUAAUACCCGGCUGUCCUGACGGUACCCAAAGAAUAAGCACCGGCUAACUUCGUGCCAGCAGCCGCGGUAAUACGAAGGGUGCAAGCGUUACUCGGAAUUACUGGGCGUAAAGCGUGCGUAGGUGGUUGUUAAGUCUGAUGUGAAAGCCCUGGGCUCAACUGGGAAUUGCACUGGAUACUGGCAGGCUAGAGUGCGGUAGAGGAUGGCGGAAUUCCCGGUGUAGCAGUGAAAUGCGUAAGAUCGGGAGGACAUCCGUGGCGAAGGCGCAUCUGGACA
This 732-nucleotide ribosomal RNA is filed under the name uncultured bacterium. RNAcentral's name for it is "bacterial SSU rRNA". It matches the Rfam family "Bacterial small subunit ribosomal RNA", at positions 9 to 735 of the family's 1533-position model. The record is from RNAcentral.